This 461-nucleotide ribosomal RNA is filed under the name uncultured bacterium. Its description in RNAcentral is "partial 16S ribosomal RNA". It matches the Rfam family "Bacterial small subunit ribosomal RNA", at positions 28 to 506 of the family's 1533-position model. The record is from RNAcentral.
GACGAACGCCGGCGGCGUGCUUAACACAUGCAAGUCGAGCGGAAAGGCCCUUCGGGGUACUCGAGCGGCGAACGGGUGAGUAACACGUGAGUAACCUGCCCCAGACUUUGGGAUAACCCUCGGAAACGGGGGCUAAUACCGGAUACGACACAGCUUCGCAUGGGGUCUGUGUGGAAAGUUUUUCGGUUUGGGAUGGGCUCGCGGCCUAUCAGCUUGUUGGUGGGGUGAUGGCCUACCAAGGCGACGACGGGUAGCCGGCCUGAGAGGGCGACCGGCCACACUGGGACUGAGACACGGCCCAGACUCCUACGGGAGGCAGCAGUGGGGAAUAUUGCACAAUGGGCGGAAGCCUGAUGCAGCGACGCCGCGUGAGGGAUGACGGCCUUCGGGUUGUAAACCUCUUUCAGCAGGGACGAAGCGUAAGUGACGGUACCUGCAGAAGAAGCGCCGGCCAACUACGU